GGAUGUGAUCAUACCAGCACUAAAGCAUCGGAUCCCAUCAGAACUCCGAAGUUAAGCGUGCUUGGGCGAGAGUAGUACUAGGAUGGGUGACCUCCUGGGAAGUCCUCGUGUUGCAUUCC
This 119-nucleotide ribosomal RNA is filed under the name Triticum aestivum (bread wheat). The record is from RNAcentral. Lineage: Eukaryota; Viridiplantae; Streptophyta; Magnoliopsida; Poales; Poaceae. RNAcentral also lists the same sequence under 1 other name.